This 496-nucleotide ribosomal RNA is filed under the name uncultured bacterium. Its description in RNAcentral is "partial 16S ribosomal RNA". It matches the Rfam family "Bacterial small subunit ribosomal RNA", at positions 29 to 523 of the family's 1533-position model. The record is from RNAcentral.
AUUGAACGCUGGCGGCAUGCUUUACACAUGCAAGUCGAACGGUAGAGGGGGCAACCCCUUGAGAGUGGCGAACGGGUGAGUAAUGCAUCGGAACGUGCCCAGUCGUGGGGGAUAACGCAGCGAAAGCUGUGCUAAUACCGCAUACGAUGCCUGGAUGAAAGCGGGGGACCGAAAGGCCUUGCGAGAUUGGAGCGGCCGAUGUCAGAUUAGGUAGUUGGUGGGGUAAAGGCUCACCAAGCCAACGAUCUGUAGCUGGUCUGAGAGGACGACCAGCCACACUGGGACUGAGACACGGCCCAGACUCCUACGGGAGGCAGCAGUGGGGAAUUUUGGACAAUGGGCGCAAGCCUGAUCCAGCAAUGCCGCGUGCAGGAAGAAGGCCUUCGGGUUGUAAACUGCUUUUGUACGGAACGAAAAGGUCUGGGUUAAUACCCUGGGCACAUGACGGUACCGUAAGAAUAAGCACCGGCUAACUACGUGCCAGCCGCCGCGGUAA